UUUGAUAGCUCAGUAGGUAGAGCAGCAAAAUGUUAAUUUGCCUGUCGCAGGUUCGAUUCCUGCUCAAAAACCA
Molecule: transfer RNA, 73 nt
Filed under: Pseudomonadota bacterium
Lineage: Bacteria; Pseudomonadati; Pseudomonadota
Description: Proteobacteria bacterium tRNA-Asn
Rfam family: tRNA
About the family: Transfer RNA (tRNA) molecules are approximately 80 nucleotides in length.
Source: RNAcentral